This is a non-coding RNA of Megalopta genalis, 1086 nucleotides long. The record is from RefSeq and is a predicted model, not a curated record. Lineage: Eukaryota; Metazoa; Arthropoda; Insecta; Hymenoptera; Halictidae.
UAAAGCGUCAGUUUUGAUGGAAGUAAACCUCUGCAAACUAAUAUACGUAUAUGGUUUUUCUUCUAUGUGUGGAUCGUCAUAGUGCGCGUUUUUCCGCCGCCAUGAUCAUGAAGCAGGAGGAGGGGAAUGCAUUACGCACGCCGCCCUAAGAUGUUAGUGGGCGGGAGUGUGGGACUCCUUGGAUGAGUAGUGCAGAUCCAGGUAUGCCAUUAAACUCCUCCUCGGGCAUCAGCCCUCAAAGCUCAUUUAGUCCCCUCCGCGGUGUCCCCUUUCGGGAUUCCUGCACGGAGGGUCAGAGUACGAUAUCAGCACAACCAUAAGUAAAACAAGUCAUACCGACGACUAAUGUAGCUUGUCACACUUUACCGUGCUUGCGUUCUUACUCUUUUCGCGCAUCCAUAUGCCUGGUGCCCCAUCUGUAACACGUGGCGCGAUAUUUGACUUGCACUUUUCGCCCCAUAGGAUUCUCGUCCAGCGUAUUUGCAAACGACUUGAAACAACGAUCAUUUCUACAAUUAUUACAAUUUUCGCAAAACCGCAAGCUACAUUUUAGUAAUGAAAUGCUUUGUUUGAGACAGGUUAUGCACCGGAUUUUGAUUGAUCCGAGUUUCGUAGCAUGAUAAAAAAGACAAAAGUCUAAAUGGAUAUUAAUAUUAAAUUGGACGAACCUUUUGACGAAUGAAGUGAAGUGAUGCUUGUGUGAAACUAGUGAUUGAUCUUUUAAAAGACAUUGACACAAUUUAUACAUUAUUAUACACACAAUUAUACAUUAAAGUCAUUGACACAAUUGCCAAUUAAUAUGAAACCAACAGAUAGAAAUUCAUCUUCCAUAAAAGCAUUAUUGAAGUCUAUGAAGGCCACGUCAGAACAAUUGAGCUCAUAAUUUCAUCUUAACAGCAAAUGUACUUUUACUUUAGUAAAUAAUAUGCAUGUACAUAUCAAAGAAUUAUUCUCUGCAAUACACAUAUACUCUAUACAACAAUAAUAAAUACUGUAAUUUCUUCUUGACAUAACUCUUUUUAUUGUGUUAGAUGUAAGUAAUACAAUAUAAAGACUGUAAUACAAAUAAUAAUUAUAAAUCUUUUC